GCCGAGUGCAGUGGCACGUGCCGUUAAUCCCAGCUACUCGGGAGGCUGAGGUGGGAGGAUCGCUUGAGCCCAGGAGUUCUGGGCUGUAGUGCGCUAUGCCAGUCAGGUGUCCGCACUAAGUUUGGCAUCAAUAUGGUGACCUCCCGGGAUUGGGGGUCCGCCAGGUUGCCGAAGGAGGGGUGAACCGGCCCAGGUUGAAAAUGGAGCAGGUCAAAACUCCUGUGCUGAUCAGUAGUGGGAUCACACCUGUGAAUAGCCACUGUACUCCAGCCUGGGCAACGAGACCCCGUCUCU
RNAcentral lists this signal recognition particle RNA (294 nucleotides) under Cebus imitator (Panamanian white-faced capuchin). RNAcentral's name for it is "Metazoan signal recognition particle RNA (ENSCCAG00000004787.1)". It matches the Rfam family "Metazoan signal recognition particle RNA". Rfam says of the family: The signal recognition particle (SRP) is a universally conserved ribonucleoprotein. It is involved in the co-translational targeting of proteins to membranes. The record is from RNAcentral. Lineage: Eukaryota; Metazoa; Chordata; Mammalia; Primates; Cebidae.